CCAGAGGUGGCUGAGUGGCAGAAAGCAGGGGACUGAUACUCCCCAAACCGCGCAAACGGUUCACGGGUUCGAAUCCCGUCCUCUCCGCAA
This 90-nucleotide transfer RNA is filed under the name Burkholderia sp. AU33423. Its description in RNAcentral is "tRNA-Ile". It matches the Rfam family "tRNA". Rfam says of the family: Transfer RNA (tRNA) molecules are approximately 80 nucleotides in length. Their secondary structure includes four short double-helical elements and three loops (D, anti-codon, and T loops). Further hydrogen bonds mediate the characteristic L-shaped molecular structure. tRNAs have two regions of fundamental functional importance: the anti-codon, which is responsible for specific mRNA codon recognition, and the 3' end, to which the tRNAs corresponding amino acid is attached (by aminoacyl-tRNA synthetases). tRNAs cope with the degeneracy of the genetic code in two manners: having more than one tRNA (with a specific anti-codon) for a particular amino acid; and 'wobble' base-pairing, i.e. permitting non-standard base-pairing at the 3rd anti-codon position. The record is from RNAcentral. Lineage: Bacteria; Pseudomonadati; Pseudomonadota; Betaproteobacteria; Burkholderiales; Burkholderiaceae.